AAACAAAGCAAUGCUCGUUCUGGAAGCUCAGGAGUAAAUGAUACAGCUACAUAGAUUUCAAAGAAGCUAACACCAAGGUUAAGUUAUAAUUUUUUAGUAUUAACUAUGUCGAUCCAGUAUAUGUGAAAAAGAUUCUAUCUACGAAAAAACAAGAGGGGAGGGAGAAAAGAAUACCCUCGCUAAAAGCUGAAUAAGACACAACGGAGUUGAUUCAGGAAGUGGAUUGACUUCUCACACUAGGUGGCAGCAUUUUACCAGAAUCAUCCGAUGAGGGUGAUUUUUCACUAGAUUUGCAGACAGCUUCAUCAAACUCUUCCUCUGUGUUCAUCUUUCUCUUCUUUGCUGCAGAUUCAGAAUUAUUUUUCCCAGUUUCACUGUUUUCCUCUUUCUGCCCACUCUUUUUCUCUUUCCCUUUCUCUGGCUGAGGUCCGAAAUCCGACACAAAUAAUGGUGCUUCUCUUCCACUCAACCGACAGAAUACUUGUUCAACUGUUUCACUUAUUUCCUUCCCUAUCCCUUUAUUAUCCAAAAUAAGUUCCCAAACCGAUUUGGAGGCUUUUUCAAGCACUGAAGUCUCAAGUUCUUGUCGCAAUGCAUCAAAGAGCUCCCUCUUGGUCUGCCUUUCUGCACCAGGUGUGUUCAGAACCCUGCUUUGCUCAACCAUCUUUAUGGUGGUAUUCUUGAGUUCUUCAUUAGCUUUGAGCUGAGUUAUGAUUUUCAACCUCAUGGAAUCAAUUGUUCCAUCGUUCAUGAGUGUCCCCAUUACAUCUUCUGGCGUUAUGACAGACGAAGAUGAUUCCAUCGUCAAUCUCCUGUAACGAAGAGAAAUCGGACUGAUCGAUCGAGGAAAACGGUGAGUUGCCGGUGAAUCGAUGAAAUUAGGGUUCU
RNAcentral lists this unclassified non-coding RNA (888 nucleotides) under Hevea brasiliensis (rubber tree). The record is from RNAcentral. Lineage: Eukaryota; Viridiplantae; Streptophyta; Magnoliopsida; Malpighiales; Euphorbiaceae.